UACGGAGGGUGCAAGCGUUAAUCGGAAUAACUGGGCGUAAAGCGCACGCAGGCGGUCUGUCAAGUCAGAUGUGAAAUCCCCGGGCUUAACCUGGGAACUGCAUUUGAAACUGGCAGGCUAGAGUCUUGUAGAGGGGGGUAGAAUUCCAGGUGUAGCGGUGAAAUGCGUAGAGAUCUGAAGGAAUACCGGUGGCGAAGGCGGCCCCCUGGACAAAGACUGACGCUCAGGUGCGAAAGCGUGGGGAGCAAAC
RNAcentral lists this ribosomal RNA (250 nucleotides) under uncultured Enterobacteriaceae bacterium. RNAcentral's name for it is "partial 16S ribosomal RNA". It matches the Rfam family "Bacterial small subunit ribosomal RNA", at positions 524 to 773 of the family's 1533-position model. Lineage: Bacteria; Pseudomonadati; Pseudomonadota; Gammaproteobacteria; Enterobacterales; Enterobacteriaceae. The record is from RNAcentral.